Molecule: small nucleolar RNA, 131 nt
Filed under: Sphenodon punctatus (tuatara)
Lineage: Eukaryota; Metazoa; Chordata; Lepidosauria; Sphenodontia; Sphenodontidae
Description: Small nucleolar RNA ACA64 (ENSSPUG00000012991.1)
Rfam family: Small nucleolar RNA ACA64
Source: Rfam by way of RNAcentral
ACUGUCUGAAAAUCACCUGUGGCCUCGUUCAGUGACCUUGGGUGAGAUAAUCGUGCCAACAGCAAAGGGAGCAUUAAGCUUAUUGCCCGCAGACUAAUUGUGUGGAGAAUAAAACCCAUGCUCCUAUAACG